RNAcentral lists this ribosomal RNA (253 nucleotides) under uncultured bacterium. RNAcentral describes it as "partial 16S ribosomal RNA". It matches the Rfam family "Bacterial small subunit ribosomal RNA", at positions 524 to 776 of the family's 1533-position model. The record is from RNAcentral.
UACGUAGGGGGCUAGCGUUGUCCGGAAUCAUUGGGCGUAAAGCGCGCGUAGGCGGCCAGAUAAGUCCGGUGUGAAAGUCACAGGCUCAACCUGUGAAUGCCGCUGGAAACUGUCUGGCUUGAGUCCGGAAGGGGCGAGUGGAAUUCCUGGUGUAGCGGUGAAAUGCGCAGAUAUCAGGAGGAACACCGGUGGUGUAGACGGCUUUCUGGACCGUAACUGACGCUGAGACACGAAAGCGUGGGUAGUAAACAGG